This 253-nucleotide ribosomal RNA is filed under the name uncultured bacterium. RNAcentral describes it as "partial 16S ribosomal RNA". It matches the Rfam family "Bacterial small subunit ribosomal RNA", at positions 524 to 776 of the family's 1533-position model. The record is from RNAcentral.
GACGAAGGAUGCAAGCGUUAUCCGGAUUCAUUGGGUUUAAAGGGAGCGUAGGUGGCCUUAUAAGUCAGUGGUGAAAUCUCUCAGCUUAACUGAGAAAUUGCCAUUGAUACUGUAGGGCUUGAGUACAGAUGCCGUUGGCGGAAUAUGACAUGUAGUGGUGAAAUACAUAGAGAUGUCAUAGAACACCGAUUGCGAAGGCAGCUGACGAAACUGUAACUGACAUUGAGGCUCGAAAGUGCGGGGAUCAAACAGG